Molecule: RNA transcript, 1055 nt
Organism: Paramacrobiotus metropolitanus
Lineage: Eukaryota; Metazoa; Tardigrada; Eutardigrada; Parachela; Macrobiotidae
Gene name: CDGSH iron-sulfur domain-containing protein 2 homolog B-like
Exons: 5
Source: RefSeq, a predicted model, not a curated record
CAAUUACAACAUCCAGUAAGGAAUUUUUCGUGAGUUUAUUGGAAAACUGGUUUUAAAGUUAUUUGCGUUUUGAGCUUUCAUAUCUAUAUAAUAAAUUAUACGUAUUUUUAUCGUGUUUCUGGGUAUUGCUUGGAAGAUUUUUCGGAUUACGGAAGAAGACUCUUGUGAGAAAUGGACUCCGUCAACCGACUUAUUACGGACAGGACUUCGUCUUAUUUGAAAGAAUUACCAGUUCCAAAAUCAUUUGGGGGUUUUGCGGAGCUUAAACUUGGCGAAUGGGUGCGUCUUGCAGCGUUUACUGGCGCUGUAGGUUUUGCUGGAUUCGUAGCUGUUCGAGGAGUCUUUACAUUGCUACCGGAGGAUUUUCUGAGCAAACUCCCAUGCCGGCUAACCCGCGGAAAAUAUCGCUGGAUGAAUAAAUGUAUUGAGAAAGAACGACCAAAAUGCAACCAUGUUAUUGAUAUUGAAGAUAUUGGCAAGAAAGCGUCGUUGUGCCGCUGCUGGAGAUCCGCAAAGUUCCCAUACUGCGACGGAGCACACAAGCAGUACAACAGGGAGACCGGUGACAAUGUGGGACCGAUUAAUGUUGUACGAAAGACGACAGUCUGAAGGAAAUUUACGAUUCCUCAUCCCGAGACAUUCCGUUGAAUGCGGUUCUGUGCUCCUUUGUGACGAUGCACUGUGAUCAAGCAUUCUGAUCCUACUGCGAAUCCGUCGUCUCCGUGUUGACUUCCGGAAUUUCUUCUCCAUGUGAUAUUGAGAUCAUCGUCAUCCAAGAGGAUCAGACCUGCGCGCUCCCGUUUGCUAAACAAAACAUAAUUUUCAAUUACUGUAUUAUGCAUAUUACCGAUAGGCGAUAGCCGAUCGGCAAGAUUGAAAGCUGAUAAAGACCGACAAAUGGUUAGAUACGCAAAAGAAUUUAGUACUUGUUUUGCCACACUGGUAAAUUCCAUGUAAAUGUGUUUACGUAUUUGCAAAUUUUCCGUAUUGCAAAUUUGCGUAUUAACGGAAUGCCUAUAUGCUGCUUCACGUACAAUAAGUUUUUCUGUUGAUAC